GAAGCGCACAAUAGGCAGGGCGCGGUGGCUCACGCCUGUAAUCCCAGCACUUUGGGAGGCUCAGGCGGGCGGAUCACAAGCCUGCACUAGGUGACGCUGAAGCCACAGAAGACACUGCAGUGGGAAAACCAGCAUGAGCCGCUGCCCCCAAGGAACCUCAAAGCCCAGGCAGAGGACCAGCCAUCCCAGCCCGCAGGUAAAGUGUGUCACCUGUCAGGUGGGCUUGGGGUGAGUGGGUGGGGGAAGUGUGUGUGCAAAGGGGGUGUGAGUGUGUAUGCGUGUGAGCACAUGAGUGAUGGCUAGUGUGACUGCAUGUCAGGGAGUGUGAACAAGCGUGCGAGGGUGUGUGUGCAAGUGCGUAUGCAUAUGAGAAUAUGUGUCUGUGGAUGAGUGCAUUUGAAAGCCUGUGUGUGUGUGUGUGUGCUCAUGAGGGUAAGUUAGUGACUGAAUGUGCAGGAUGUGUGAGUGUGCAUGGAACACUGUCAGUGUGUCUGUGUGGCAAGUGUGUAGGCGUGUGAGGACAGGCAGAAGUGUGUCAGUGUUGUGAUGGGAGUGUGAAUGAGUGUGCAAAAAGGUGAGUGAAUGUGCAUGGAAGUGUGUGUCAACUAUGAAGGCAUGUAGUGUGUCAGUGUGUGCAGUGCAAGCAUGUGUGGGAAUGAGUGCUUGUGGGUGUGUCCAUAUCCAACGGGUAUGUGUGAAAGCAUGUAAAAGUGUGUGUAGUGUGAUGGUGUGUGGAUGUAUCAGUGUGUAUAAAUGAGAGCAUGUAAAUGUGUAUGUAUGAGUGUUGAGUGAGUGUGCAUAUGUGAGGCUGUGCGUGUGAGUGUAACCAUGAGGGUGUGAACGUGCUUAAGUGUAUGUGCAUGUGACAGUGCAAGUGUAGGGGUGUGAUGCAUGUGUGGGUUUGCCAGUGUAUGAGUGUACAUGGUGUGGAUCUGAAUGUGCACAGUGUAAAGGGCAUGAGUGCAAGUGUGUGUGAGUGUAUGUGAAUGAGUGGUAGUGUGCAUGCAUGUGUGAGUGCACGCUCAGAAGCAUGGAUGGGUGCAAGCCUCCCCUACUAACUCCUCCUCCUUCCUGAGAUCAAAAAAGUAUGUGUUUUCUGUGUUUCAAAAAUGUUUUAAAAUUAUGUACUGUAUUUAAUAGUUCUUAUGACUACAGUGUUUUUCUCUCUGCUUAAAGCGCAGCAGGGGCUGGGCGCAGUGGCUCACACCUGUAAUCCCAGCACUUUGGGAGGCCAAGGCAAGUGGAUCAGUUGAGAUCAGGAGUUCAAGACCAGCCUGGACAACAUGGUGAAACCCCAUCUCUACUAAAAAUACAAAAAUUAG
Molecule: long non-coding RNA, 1322 nt
Filed under: Pan troglodytes (chimpanzee)
Lineage: Eukaryota; Metazoa; Chordata; Mammalia; Primates; Hominidae
Description: long non-coding RNA NONPTRT018225
Source: RNAcentral